UGGUUAGAAGACCUUUUCAAUCUUAGAUAUCGGAUAAGUAUGUGGAUGAUGUGAUCAUGAUUCAUGAAUAAAAUCAAGUGCCGACAUUUUUCGACAUUCACCUUUUUUUUGGGCCAACGUUAAGAACUCUUCUAGAUGCUCUAUUUUGUAUUUAAAAUUAUCGGCAUUGGAUAUUUGAUAAAACUUUAGUCAGAUUUAAGGGUAUUGCAAUGAAGAUUAGCCCCCAAAAGUCAAUGAUUUAUUUUUGAUUGGUUAAAUGAGUAUGGCUUACGGUUAAAUGACCCAUCUUAAUGUUAAAGUCUAUCCCAAUUAACUCUCCGUAUACGCAUCCUCUCUUUAUAUUGCCUGUAGCAACUAAGGUUUAGGCAUUUCAAAGUUUUCUUUUUUCAAGAAAUCUUGACAGAAAUGGAGACAAGUAGCUUCAAUAUCUCUGGUAUUUAUGACAUCGCUUCACAGAAGCCAGAUAUCCAGGCUCUGAAGCAGAGUAUUUCUGGAAUAAUAAAUGUGGCUCUCGAAUCCAGAACGCUGGUCAUAUUCAAACACGAUUCAAGCGUAACGGCGGCUCAACUGGAGAGCGCGCUGAAAGAACUGGGUUUGAAGCCUUCUCGAAAGGCAAACGGGAGAAAAUGAUAACAGAAGUGCUGCAGAGGAUGGGGCGGAGGAUCGGCAACUUUCUUUUCAAUAGCAGAUGGUGAAAUUAGGCAGGCUGAAAAAAAUCCAUUUGUCACGCUACAUGUGGAUGUUUUCUAUAUUUACUGAUUUUGGAUCUACUAGAAAUUUUACAGAUAAAGAGACUUCUCACAGUGACUGUAAUUUUUGGAUCUUGUAGAGAUUUUAUAUAUAAAGAAGACACUUCUCAAAGUGACUGUAAUUUUUGGAUCUUGUAGAAAUUUUAUAUAUAAAGAUACUUUUCUCAGUGACUGCAAUUUUUGGAUCUUUAUAGAAAUUGACGGUAAUU
Long non-coding RNA from Cryptomeria japonica (Japanese cedar), 958 nucleotides. RefSeq lists it as uncharacterized. The record is from RefSeq and is a predicted model, not a curated record. The transcript is spliced from 3 exons. NCBI's taxonomy places the organism in Eukaryota, Viridiplantae, Streptophyta, Pinopsida, Cupressales, Cupressaceae.